This 1588-nucleotide long non-coding RNA is filed under the name Sus scrofa (pig). The record is from RNAcentral. Lineage: Eukaryota; Metazoa; Chordata; Mammalia; Artiodactyla; Suidae.
GUCAGAGAAAGCCUUCAGGCAAAGAGAUUCAGGUGCUGGCAAUUGGGAAUCAUGUUUGCGUGUACUAAAAUAAUAACAGCUGAAGGGAUCCACGGGGCACCGCAGCUUCUACUCAAUUUGUUAUCAUUAGCAGAGCCUUUAAGGAGCAGAGCGUAGCCUGAUGGUCCCUCGAUGCUUGCUUGCCGAGCAGCCAAAGCCAACAGGCCCUCCUGGUGGAGCCAGCCAGUGGAGAAGAGCUGAGGGUUGUUGCAAGAGCUCAGAAGCUGGGCUGUGAACUUGAACAAGGAGCCUUGUGCCUGUUUCUGAUCUAGAGAUACCCCAUGACAGCAGAGCUUGAAGGGGCCAUGGCGUGGUUCAGUUGGAAUAAAAUGAGACAACUUCAGGACAAACUCCACUGCAGUUGGCAGUUGCAGACACCAGCACUUCCUACAGUUGUGCAUGAAAAAGCAUGGAGGUUGGAGUAUAAGAAGGAGUUGUAGGGUUUGCCUUGGAGGCCAUGGGUCACACAGUGGAAUGUCCAACAUGGAAAAGUAGCUGUCGGCUGAAAUUGCUGUUGAUGCCAAAGGGAGACAUGGCCACUCCUCUGGGAGAAAUCUUCCUCAUUGGAGAGAGACUGGGGAAAGCUCAGUACAACCACCUGUGUGGUGGUUGCCAUGGCAAUAGGGAUGCGCAGUGUCACACGGAGCCCCAGGGAACCAGGAAUGCCAGGAAACUUCACCAGCACUGACAGCAGACAUUCAGAAACUUCAAGAAUUAAAAGCAAAGGAAGGAGACGGAUAGGAAGAAGUCAAUUUUGCAAUGACACCUCCCAACAGGCUGCAAAUUCUUGAUAAAUUUAUGAACAGUUGCAAAUGUUUAGCAACAGUGUUGCCAAGACUGUCCUUGGAGAAAAGAUUCCAGAUGAGAAGGAUAUUUUUCAGCAAACUCUCUUGUCUGCAGGCUCAGGGAGAUCUGGCAGGGGCUGACAGCCAUGAAGCCCAACACAUAGGAAGCACCCACUGGCUUCUUCAAGCUUCUCACAAAAUGUGAUGCACGAUGCUUUCAUUCACAAUUACAGCAAAUAAAAGCAACAUGAUAAAAGAAUAGCAUUGGGAGGCCAUGUGCAUAACAUUAAUGAACAUGUUGCAAAUCUGUCUUUUGGUGAGCCUGACAGGCGAAGGCGGAGUUUGCUGGUUUGAGGUGUCACCACCCUGAGCUUGCCAGGGAUUCGGGGAGGGGUAUUAGAAUGAUAUUAUGGAAUAAUAGCUAAUUUUUUGAGGGCUUCCUCUAUGCCAGGCUCUGUGCUCUUUGCAGGCAAUACCAAUGAAAUGAGUUGUAUUAAUCCAAUUUUGUGCUGAACAAACUGAGGUUGGAAACAGGAGAAUUGAUAAAGGCUAAUAAACAGUUAACUCAUGCCUGAAUCUGUCAGAAUCUAUAGUUUCCUUGCUUUUUAAUUUUUAUAAAGUAUAAUUUACAUCUAGGAAGUUACUUCUUGUGUGAAUGUGAUGUUAUCACCUGUAUGUAUAUCCAUGAAAACACCAUGCAUAUCAAGAUAUGGAACAGUCCUAUCAUUCCAGAAAUUUCCCUCAUAUCCCUUCUCAGUUAUCAC